UGACGUAGACCCGAAACCAAGUGAUCUACCCAUGUCCAGGUUGAAGGUGCGGUAAAACGCACUGGAGGACCGAACCAGGGCACGUUGAAAAGUGCUUGGAUGAGGUGUGGGUAGCGGAGAAAUUCCAAUCGAACUUGGAGAUAGCUGGUUCUCUCCGAAAUAGCUUUAGGGCUAGCCUCGGAAUGAAGAAUCGUGGAGGUAGAGCACUGUUUGGACUAGGGGCCCAUCUCGGGUUACCGAAUUCAGAUAAACUCCGAAUGCCAUGUAUUUAUGUCCGGGAGUCAGACUGCGAGUGAUAAGAUCCGUAGUCGAAAGGGAAACAGCCCAGACCACCAGCUAAGGUCCCAAAAUAUCUGUUAAGUGGAAAAGGAUGUGGGGUUGCACAGACAACUAGGAUGUUGGCUUAGAAGCAGCCAUCAUUCAAAGAGUGCGUAAUAGCUCACUAGUCGAGUGACCCUGCGCCGAAAAUGUAACGGGGCUAAACAGAUUACCGAAGCUGUGGAUUCAGUCUAUGACUGAGUGGUAGGAGAGCGUUCUAAGGGCGAAGAAGCAUGACCGUAAGGACAUGUGGAGCGCUUAGAAGUGAGAAUGCCGGUAUGAGUAGCGAAAGACGGGUGAGAAUCCCGUCCACCGAAUGACUAAGGUUUCCUGGGGAAGGCUCGUCCUCCCAGGGUUAGUCGGGACCUAAGGCGAGGCCGAAAGGCGUAGUCGAUGGAUAACAGGUUGAUAUUCCUGUACUUCUGUUAAUUGUUUGAGCAAUGGAGGGACGCAGGAGGCUAAGUUGAGCGUACGACUGGAAAUGUACGUCCAAGCAGCGAGUCCGCUGAUGAGUGAAAUGCUUGUCACAUACGGGGUGAGCUGUGAUGGGGAGCGAAAUAUAGUAGCGAAGCAACUGACGUCACACUGCCGAGAAAAGCUUCUAGUGAGAUUAACAGAACCCGUACCGCAAACCGACACAGGUAGUUGAGUGGAGAACACUAAGGUGAGCGAGCGAACUCUCGUUAAGGAACUCGGCAAAAUGACCCCGUAACUUCGGGAGAAGGGGUGCUGGUAGAAAUACCAGCCGCAGUGAAUAGGCCCAGGCGACUGUUUAUCAAAAACACAGGUCUCUGCAAAAUCGAAAGAUGACGUAUAGGGGCUGACGCCUGCCCGGUGCUGGAAGGUUAAGAGGAGAGGU
RNAcentral lists this ribosomal RNA (1177 nucleotides) under Salmonella enterica. RNAcentral's name for it is "partial 23S ribosomal RNA". It matches the Rfam family "Bacterial large subunit ribosomal RNA", at positions 705 to 1890 of the family's 2925-position model. Lineage: Bacteria; Pseudomonadati; Pseudomonadota; Gammaproteobacteria; Enterobacterales; Enterobacteriaceae. The record is from RNAcentral.